This 1790-nucleotide long non-coding RNA is filed under the name Lathyrus oleraceus (garden pea). Its description in RNAcentral is "Pisum sativum (pea) long non-coding RNA (PSAT_LNC020827)". The record is from RNAcentral. Lineage: Eukaryota; Viridiplantae; Streptophyta; Magnoliopsida; Fabales; Fabaceae.
CCUCUGUCACGCUGGAAAUCGCCUCCAGCGGCAGUGAAGGCUCAAUCACUAAGACAAACAUACCGAAAGAACCUUCUUACCUCACUGAACCUUAAUCUAAGCUUUGAUUCCAUUAAUUCCUCACCAAAUUCAUGAGUCGAGUGAAAUAAAGUAAAAGCCCUAAAUCUAAAAUUCGAAAUUAAACGCCAUAGAGUAAUGAAAUGGAGUCCAAACCAUAGAGGUUUGGCUCCUUAUACAAAAGUCUACAUCACAACAAAGAGAACUGAGCAAGAAGUAUGAUUUUCACCAAACUUCGAAGCGGAGAUAUGCUUCGAUCAAAGUUGCACAGUGUGAAGACGAUGAAGCUCAAGAAAAUACCAGAGAAUUGCGAAUAUAAUUCAAACUCUAAUUCAAACUCUUGCUCCUUAUGCGCUUAAUUCCUCUUCUUCUUUUUCUGUAGAUUUUAGGGCACGAGUAUGUAAUGCCGUGUCUGUGAGAGAGUGCAGAGAGAAGAGAGGAGAGUGAGAUUGAUGAUGAUGGUGAUGUCGAGUGAUGGAGAGGUUGAAGUCUGGACUCAUAGUGAAAUUGUGAGAUUGAAGGUAUAAUUUUGUGAAAAAAUGGUGAUCCUGAACCUGAGAAUUGAAGGAUAAAUUUAUAGGCAUCAAUCUUAAUAGAGUUUAACUUUGUUAAACUAAUCUAUGAGUAAUUCAGUUGUAUAGUUAACUCUGAACUUUGGAGAUUCAUGCAAAAUUAGAUAGAUGUUAAUCUGUUGAAUUAUUAGUUUCCAAUUGUGUUAUGACAGUUGGAUGUUAGCUAGUUAGUUUUAGGUUAGUUAGUAAGUUAGUUGAAGUUAAAAAACUGUUAAGUUGAUGUUAGUGAUUCUGUUAGUUAGUUAAUGAAUUAGAGACUUUAGUUAGAUUUGCUGUUAAUUGAAGUUAGAAUGUUAGUGUUUUUGGCUCUGUCGUUUUCAUCACUAUGUUGCUGUUAGAACUCUGCUAGCAGAAGUUAAAGUUAGUUACAGGGUUAGAAAUGUAAUUAGAAAACUUGGUUAGUUAUGUUAGUUAAACUGUUAGAAGCUUGUUUUAGGGCCUGCACAUGUAUUAUUAGUAGUUAGUAGUGAUCAUUGAAGUUGGAAUUAAUAUGGUCGUUAGGACCUGCUAAAUUAGUAGUGAUGUUGAACUGAUGAUUGGGCUUAGUGUGACAGUUAAUAAAAAUGGGAAAGUUGUUAAGAAGUUAUACAGGUUAUGUCUUGGAUUGGAUACCAGGUGAAUUAGAACUGUUGUUGUGAAAUGGUAUUGAUAUGAUGUUUUAGUUUUAGACUGAAUAUAGCAAUAAAGUUGAAUGUCAUGUAUGCUUAUUGUUUAUUAAUGGUCUAUUUGAACUCAAAUCAAUUAGAAUGGACCAUGUUAUGAACUCAAAUGUUGUUAGGGUUGUUAAUGUAAAUCUGAAAUUGAAUUGGAUGUAUUAGGUUAUCAUGCUUUGAUUUUUGCCUGUAUAUGACAGUAGGGACUUGGUAUUAUGAUGAGAAUAUGGAAACAUGAAGAAAGCAUAGCCAUGAAGUCAAAAGAGAAUAUGGAAACAUUAAGAAUCAAAGUGAAAAUUAGAAUUAGGACUAGGCAUUAGGUCAGUUGACUUUUCUCAACUGAUUGACCAAAAAGUCAAUAGUUGACCAAAGUCAAUUGUAGGUCAAAGUCAAUUUUUUUUUGUAUUUUUUGUAUGGAUACUUGUAAAUGGUAUUGUAUGAAUGAAAUGAACACUUUUGGAUGAAAAUAGUUCUUUGAUGUAAUGAAACAUGUCCCUUAUUUUCAAAU